AACUUUUAGCAACGGAUCACGCAGGCGGGCGAUUCCGCGCGUGAGCGUUCAGCUGGAGAUCGUUCAGCUGAGACGAUCCGUUCGGGAACGUCCGGGACGCACUCGGACGGAACAGCUGCGGGGCGCGGCGUCGAUCCGGCCACGUCGGUGCUCGCCUCGAAUCCCGUCGCAGGCGGCGGGCAGCAGAACGCGCCCCCGCGAUCCAACGACCAGCAACAGGCCCAGGCCGUGGAGAAUGCCGGGGUUGCCGACGCGGUCCCCGACGUCGCCUAUGCGAGCGAUUCGGGCCAGCAGUUUCCGGUCGAUUCGCAGGCGGACAUUCCACUCAAGGACAAGUUCACCGGCGAGGCCGGGUCGGUCUCCUUCUGGCUUCAGCCGCAUAUCAAUAAGCGGAGGCU
This 398-nucleotide unclassified non-coding RNA is filed under the name uncultured Ascomycota. RNAcentral's name for it is "sequence contains ITS2". Lineage: Eukaryota; Fungi; Ascomycota. The record is from RNAcentral.